GAUGAACGCUAGCGGCAGGCCUAACACAUGCAAGUCGAGGGGUAGAGUUCUCGGGACUUGAGACCGGCGCACGGGUGCGUAACGCGUAUGCAAUCUACCUUAUACAGGGGAAUAGCCCCAGAGAAAUUUGGAUUAAUGCCCCAUAGUGUUAUCGAAUCGCAUGGUUUGAUAACUAAAGUUCCAACGGUAUAAGAUGAGCAUGCGUCCAUUAGUUAGUUGGUAAGGUAACGGCUUACCAAGGCUACGAUGGGUAGGGGUCCUGAGAGGGAGAUCCCCCACACUGGUACUGAGACACGGACCAGACUCCUACGGGAGCAGCAGUGAGGAUAUUGGACAAUGGGCGCAAGCCUGAUCCAGCCAUGCCGCGUGCAGGAUGACGGUCCUA
Molecule: ribosomal RNA, 385 nt
Filed under: uncultured bacterium
Lineage: Bacteria
Description: bacterial SSU rRNA
Rfam family: Bacterial small subunit ribosomal RNA
Source: RNAcentral